CUGAUGGAUUCGUGCAAUGGUCUGCCUUAUGAAUCUCGUCAGGACCGGAAGGUAGCAGCGAUAAAUGAGUAACGCAUGUGAUACGGUUCUCUGUCAGGUG
This 100-nucleotide signal recognition particle RNA is filed under the name Candidatus Hippobium faecium. RNAcentral's name for it is "signal recognition particle sRNA small type". It matches the Rfam family "Bacterial small signal recognition particle RNA". From Rfam's summary of the family: The signal recognition particle (SRP) is a universally conserved ribonucleoprotein involved in the co-translational targeting of proteins to membranes. The record is from RNAcentral. Lineage: Bacteria; Bacillati; Armatimonadota.